UACAGAGGUGGCAAGCGUUGUUCGGAAUUACUGGGCGUAAAGGGCGCGUAGGCGGUCCGAUAAGUCCCGUGUGAAAUCCCUCGGCUCAACUGAGGAAUGGCACGGGAAACUGACGGGCUUGAGUUCGGGAGAGGGAAGCGGAAUUCCGGGUGUAGCGGUGAAAUGCGUAGAUAUCGGAAGGAACAUCAGUGGCGAAGGCGACUUCCUGGACCAAUACUGACGCUCAGGUGCGAAAGCGUGGGGAGCAAACAGG
RNAcentral lists this ribosomal RNA (253 nucleotides) under uncultured bacterium. Its description in RNAcentral is "partial 16S ribosomal RNA". It matches the Rfam family "Bacterial small subunit ribosomal RNA", at positions 524 to 776 of the family's 1533-position model. The record is from RNAcentral.